GUCAGCGAGUUGCGCAUGCGUCGGGGAUUUGCUCAAAGUCGCGCCGGGGGCUUGGGCGCAAAGGGUCGCGCUGAAGUGUUCCCUCCUCUUCCUCCUCCUCCUCCUCCUCUUCCUGAGUCCGCCAGCUAACGCGGACUGGAACUCUCCCGGAAGAGUCUUCAAAAUCUGGGGUGGAUUUUAUACCUACAGCACAUGUCAAUUGAGAUUAGCCCUACUUCAAGUACUCAUGUGGCUGUGUGAAGGUCUAGGAUAUGCCUUUCCUAGAAGAAGUUAACUGGGAGGCCAAGAUAAUAAUCAGAAGACUCUCUGAGCACUUCAGCAUACAGAGGUUGGGGAGAUGAAGAGCAAAAGAGCUUAAGAAGGAGCUGUCAGAAAAGUAGGAGGAAAAUGCCGCUUGGCGUGUGGGAUCGAACCCACUCCCCCGGCAGUGGAAGCACGGAGUCUUAACCACUGGACUGCCAGGGAAGCCCCAUGUUGUUAUACUCUUGAAGGUAUCCCCAUAGCCCUGAUCCUUUGAAGCUGUGAUUUGGCUUGCAAGAGGAAAGAAGCCUUCAUCACUGGCCUGGAUGAAGCAGCCUGUGAUUAGAAAACCCUUUCUCCCUCUGCUACUUGCGCCUGGAAUCGGAAGACCCUGUGGAAUGAGCUGUUCAGGUUUUCCUGGGAUGAGAGAUGAAAACCACCAGCACUUGUCCUGUUAAAACUAAACAAACAGUCAAAAGUAGCCUCAUAUGUUCCUUGGAAGACAUCUACCCUCCCUGACUGGAAGUAUUUCACAAGAGUCCCCAGGUCUCAAGCUCUGAAAUAGGAAUGGUGUGCCUGGAGGUGACUUCAUCUAUCCGCCUGGUUCUCUCUUCCGUCCCCCAGCCGAUCUCUGCUCUUGUAUCUGCCUAUCCUUCUGACUUGGCGCUGAACCCAGGGGGCUGCACAGACUCAUUCAGAAUUUCCGGACCCAGCCGACCUUCUCAGGCGGUGAAGACUGAUGAUUUCCAUCCUGAGGCCCCUGCCCCCCGAGCCAGAUGAGAACCACACGGUUAGGUGAUUACAGCUUUUUCCUCCUCCCGUUCCGGCCCCGGCGCCCUCCUUCCCGCGUCCGCCCCGCCGCAGCUGGAGUCUGGGAGACCCGCGUUCGCUCCCCACUUCUUCAAAGCCUUUCGCUACAAGGAACUCGCUUCCCCAUCGCUCCCCUCCCCCUUCUCCCAAAUAAACAACUGGAACUGCCAGUGGAAGGGGUGAGGGCCGGGCUGGAGCCCAGGGGUGGCCUUCGGGUCUCCGCCGGGCCCCCCGCCCCCUCCCCCAGCCUCCCUCCUCGCCGCGCCGGGAUGAACGGCAUUUUAUUUUAUUUCUCAUUGUCUUCUCGCCGCUGCAGAGCGCGAUGCCGGCGGCCGCCCGCCGCCCGAGGAAGGGGAGGCCGGGGGUCGGGCAGAAACUCAGCCAA
Molecule: long non-coding RNA, 1435 nt
Organism: Physeter macrocephalus (sperm whale)
Lineage: Eukaryota; Metazoa; Chordata; Mammalia; Artiodactyla; Physeteridae
Exons: 6
Source: RefSeq, a predicted model, not a curated record